GAAUUUUGCGCAAUGGGCGAAAGCCUGACGCAGCAACGCCGCGUGAGGGAUGAAGGCCUUCGGGUUGUAAACCUCUUUUCUCAGGGAAGAUGAUGACGGUACCUGAGGAAGAAGCCACGGCUAACUACGUGCCAGCAGCCGCGGUAAUACGUAGGUGGCAAGCGUUGUCCGGAUUUACUGGGCGUAAAGAGCGCGCAGGCGGUCGUUCAAGUCGAGUGUGAAAGCCCCCGGCUCAACUGGGGAGGGUCACUCGAUACUGAUCGACUCGAAGGCAGGAGAGGGAAGUGGAAUUCCCGGUGUAGUGGUGAAAUGCGUAGAUAUCGGGAGGAACACCAGUGGCGAAGGCGACUUCCUGGCCUGUUCUUGACGCUGAGGCGCGAAAGCUAGGGUAGCGAACGG
This 399-nucleotide ribosomal RNA is filed under the name uncultured bacterium. RNAcentral's name for it is "bacterial SSU rRNA". It matches the Rfam family "Bacterial small subunit ribosomal RNA", at positions 359 to 775 of the family's 1533-position model. The record is from RNAcentral.